UCCACGAGUCCAUCCUACUGGUCUAGGGUAUGUCUAUGUAAUAUGGCUAGACUAGCGAAUGAAGCAGCAAAGAUAAGGCGUGUCCUUGAACCUCUGUUCCAGAACUUCGAUGCUAACAAUCACUGGCCCUAGAAAAAGGAGUUGUCUACCCUGUUUUGACAUUUUUGCAGUCACUUCUGGAGGAAACAGGCUGCAUUUGGAACUUGAUGCGCCAUCUCUUUAGGCUGUUGCGUAUGUGGUUUUGGAUACCCUAGACUGUAAUUCAAAUAACCUUUUGUAGACAUAACUGAUAUAUGGUUAUAUUAUCAUCAGGAGAAAAUUCGCAUUUGCUAUUAUCUAUCCUGGUCAAGCACUUGGAUCAUAAGAGUGUUGCCAUACAACCUUCUUUACAAGUAGACAUUGUUAUAAUGUCACAGCACGACUUGGACAAAGCUCAAUGCAGCGAGCCACAGUUGCUAUCAUUGGUGCAAUAUCUGACUUGAUGAAACAUUUACAAAAGUGCCUGCAAAAUUCAUCCAAAUUUUCCAACCCCAGGGGUGGCAGUGAUGGAUGGAAUGCUGAUCUUCAGUUUGCUUUAAAACGCAUCUCACAGCUCUCAGAUAAGGCUUUUCCUGAUGCUCUAUUCCACCAAUUGCUUGUGGCAAUGGCCCACCCAGACCAUGAGACUAGAUUUGGAGCACACAGUGUUUUCUCUAUCUUGCUCAUGCCAUCCUUGUUUUCUCCUUGGUCAGACCAGGAUAAGAAAACCUCUGAAGCUGUUUCUGAAACUUUUGGUGCAUCAGCAUCACAAAAGAGGAGUAAGGUUUCUCCUUUCUGGGUGAAAGCAAAGAUAAUGUUGAUGCCGUGGAUGGAAAAUUGUGGGAAGAAGGCAAUUCAAUUUCAAAUGUGGGUGAAAAACAUGAUUCUCAUGAUCAUUUAAACAGCUUCUGGCAUGCUGCCCCAGAUGGAAAAAUGCUAACUUCCCUUCGAUUGAGUAGCCGUCAAAUCAGUCAUUUGCUUUCAUCAUUAUGGGUUCAGGCAACAUCUGCAGAGAAUAUGCCCACAAAUUUUGAGGCCAUGAGCCAUACUUAUAAUAUCACUUUGCUUUCCACACGAUCUAAGGCCUCAAGUCACAUGGCACUAGUUCGGUGUUUUCAGCUGGCAGUCUCUCUGGCUCAAGAAGGUUAGCUGAAUCUGUUAGUGUAUGGUAAAUUGGUAAUAUGUUUUGAUUGUAGGGAUUGACAACAUUUGCUCUCUAAUUCCUCUUUUCUCUUUGGCUAAAAGAUCCCUGAUUUAUGAUUUCUUAAUUGCUCUUGAAGUUUAUUUUCUGAAAUUAUUAGAUUGGUUAUGUUGGUGCACUUUACUUCCCAUACCUGUUUCUUGCAUCCAUAUCUAAGCAGGUCUGCAACAAUCUCGUGGAAGGUCUCUCUUCACCUUGGCAUCAUUCAUGCUUAUUUUUGCAGCAAGGGCAGGAAAUCUUCCAGAGCUAAUUCCUUUUUUUAAAUCCUAUCUAACAGAAAAAACAUUUAGUUUACUUUUCCAUUACCAUUUAGAAGGAAAUGUUUUGUUGUUGUUUUUCUAUGACUAUGACAUGUUUCCCGUGGAGCUUUUGUUAAUAUAUUUGCAUCAAUUUAUGAAUAUUAUGGCAGGCCAACCCUUAUCUUGAAUUAGUUGAAGAUAUCAGGCUGCAGGCUGUUUAUGUAGAAUCUGAUGACGGGAAAAUAGCAUAUGGAUCGGAGGAGGAGGAUGUUGCUGCUUUAAAAUCUCUUUCACAUGUGGAAGCAGAUAAUGGUCAUUUGAAGGAAACCCUGACAUCCCAAUUCAUGACAAAAUUUGUCAAAUUAUCAGAGGAUGAAUUAUCAGGCAUAAAACAGCAACUUCUGCAGGAGUUUUCACCUGAUGAUGCAUAUCCAUCAGGAGCUCCCCUGUUUAUGGAUACACCUAGGCCAUGUUCCCCUCUUGCCCGAAUGGAGUUUCAGGCAUUUGAGGAGGGUGUCUCUGAGAUCAUGCCUGCAGCUGCCUUGACAGAUGAUGAAACCUUCACAGAACUUAAUGGAAGCCAGUCAGGUCUCAGAACAUCAAUAUCUAUCCAUACACUUGACAUCCUAAGCGUCAAAGAACUUCUGGAACCAGUAAGGGGAGCACUUCCUGUUUCUUCGUUUCUUUUUCGACAUUUAACUGCUUGGUGCAUGGAAAUGUCAUUCCUUGGCUGCAUUUCUUUCCCAUUUUAUGUUGUUUAGAUCCGUGAUCCUUAGCAAGGAAUGGUUUUGGAAUGUAUUGAAAAUUGCAAAUUUAGGAAAGUUCAAAAAAGAAAAGAGUUAGUUUAAAAUUACCUGUUCCUUGCGACCAGAUGAAGAGUCAGUGUGAAGCUCUUGUAACUGGGAAACAGCAGAAAAUGUCAAUACUGCAUAGUUUUAAGCCUCAAGCAGAAGCCAAGGUUUUCCCCAUUGAAGAAGAAAAGAAAGACACCUCAGUCUAUGAUGUGGUGAGUCUGUUUACUUUACAGAUACAAACCAUGCUUAAUGAAUUGAU
This is a long non-coding RNA of Populus trichocarpa (black cottonwood), 2511 nucleotides long. RefSeq lists it as uncharacterized. The record is from RefSeq and is a predicted model, not a curated record. NCBI's taxonomy places the organism in Eukaryota, Viridiplantae, Streptophyta, Magnoliopsida, Malpighiales, Salicaceae. The transcript is spliced from 6 exons.